RNAcentral lists this non-coding RNA (23 nucleotides) under Rattus norvegicus (Norway rat). The record is from RNAcentral. Lineage: Eukaryota; Metazoa; Chordata; Mammalia; Rodentia; Muridae.
CUUUAAUAAUAUGAGGGUAGAAU